CCUACGGGAGGCAGCAGUGGGGGAUAUUGCACAAUGGGGGAAACCCUGAUGCAGCGACGCCGCGUGAGUGAAGAAGUAUUUCGGUAUGUAAAGCUCUAUCAGCAGGGAAGAAAAUGACAGUACCUGACCAAGAAGCCCCGGCUAACUACGUGCCAGCAGCCGCGGUAAUACGUAGGGGGCAAGCGUUAUCCGGAUUUACUGGGUGUAAGGGGAGCGUAGGCGGUUAUGUAAGUCUGGAGUGAAAGCCCGGGGCCCAACCCCGGGACUGCUUUGGAAACUGUGUGACUGGAGUACAGGAGGGGCAGGCGGAAUUCCUGGUGUAGCGGUGAAAUGCGUAGAUAUCAGGAGGAACACCGGCGGCGAUGGCGGCCUACUGGACUGAAACUGACGUUGAGGCUCGAAAGCGUGGGGAGCAAACAGGAUUAGAUACCCGAGUAGUC
This 440-nucleotide ribosomal RNA is filed under the name uncultured bacterium. RNAcentral's name for it is "partial 16S ribosomal RNA". It matches the Rfam family "Bacterial small subunit ribosomal RNA", at positions 338 to 795 of the family's 1533-position model. The record is from RNAcentral.